Molecule: non-coding RNA, 73 nt
Organism: Podarcis lilfordi (Lilford's wall lizard)
Lineage: Eukaryota; Metazoa; Chordata; Lepidosauria; Squamata; Lacertidae
Source: the annotation of a GenBank genome assembly
UGGGCUGUGGCUCAGUGGUAGAACAUCUGCCUUGAGUGCAGAAGGUUCCAGGUUCAAUCCCUGACAUGUCCAA